CCUACGGGUGGCAGCAGUAGGGAAUAUUGCUCAAUGGGGGAAACCCUGAAGCAGCAAAGCCGCGUGGAGGAUGAAGGUUUUCGGAUUGUAAACUCCUUUUGUUAGAGAAGAAAAUGACGGUAUCUAACGAAUAAGCACCGGCUAACUCCGUGCAAGCAGCCGCGGGAAUACGGAGGGUGCAAGCGUUACUCGGAAUCACUGGGCGUAAAGAGCGCGUAGGCGGGAUAGCAAGUCAGAUGGGAAAUCCUAUGGCUUAACCAUAGAACUGCAGUUGAAACUGUUAUUGUAGAGUAUGGGAGAGGUAGGUGGAAUGCUUGGUGUAGUGGUGAAAUCCGUAGAGAUCAAGAGGAAUACUCAUUGCGAAGGCGACCUGCUAGAACAUGACUGACGCUGAUGCGCGAAAGCGUGGGUAGCAAACAGGAUUAGAUACCCCUGUAGUC
This 440-nucleotide ribosomal RNA is filed under the name uncultured bacterium. Its description in RNAcentral is "partial 16S ribosomal RNA". It matches the Rfam family "Bacterial small subunit ribosomal RNA", at positions 338 to 795 of the family's 1533-position model. The record is from RNAcentral.